UAGCUCAACUGGUAGAGUGUGGCAUUAAUGUUGCAUGGGUUAAGGGUUCAAUUCCCACAGGGACCA
Molecule: non-coding RNA, 66 nt
Organism: Merluccius polli (Benguela hake)
Lineage: Eukaryota; Metazoa; Chordata; Actinopteri; Gadiformes; Merlucciidae
Source: the annotation of a GenBank genome assembly